UACGUAGGGUGCAAGCGUUAAUCGGAAUUACUGGGCGUAAAGCGUGCGCAGGCGGUUUUGUAAGUCCGAUGUGAAAUGCCCGGGCUUAACCUGGGAACUGCAUUUGUGACUGCAUGGCUAGAGUUUGGCAGAGGGGGGUAGAAUUCCACGUGUAGCAGUGAAAUGCGUAGAUAUGUGGAGGAACACCGAUGGCGAAGGCAGCCCCCUGGGUCAAGACUGACGCUCAUGCACGAAAGCGUGGGGAGCAAACAGG
This 253-nucleotide ribosomal RNA is filed under the name uncultured bacterium. RNAcentral's name for it is "partial 16S ribosomal RNA". It matches the Rfam family "Bacterial small subunit ribosomal RNA", at positions 524 to 776 of the family's 1533-position model. The record is from RNAcentral.